Molecule: ribosomal RNA, 497 nt
Filed under: uncultured bacterium
Lineage: Bacteria
Description: partial 16S ribosomal RNA
Rfam family: Bacterial small subunit ribosomal RNA
Source: RNAcentral
GAUGAACGCUGGCGGCGUGCCUAAUACAUGCAAGUCGAGCGAACAGACGAGGAGCUUGCUCCUCUGACGUUAGCGGCGGACGGGUGAGUAACACGUGGAUAACCUACCUAUAAGACUGGGAUAACUUCGGGAAACCGGAGCUAAUACCGGAUAAUAUAUUGAACCGCAUGGUUCAAUAGUGAAAGACGGUUUUGCUGUCACUUAUAGAUGGAUCCGCGCCGCAUUAGCUAGUUGGUAAGGUAACGGCUUACCAAGGCAACGAUGCGUAGCCGACCUGAGAGGGUGAUCGGCCACACUGGAACUGAGACACGGUCCAGACUCCUACGGGAGGCAGCAGUAGGGAAUCUUCCGCAAUGGGCGAAAGCCUGACGGAGCAACGCCGCGUGAGUGAUGUAGGUCUUCGGAUCGUAAAACUCUGUUAUUAGGGAAGAACAAAUGUGUAAGUAACUAUGCACGUUUUGACGGUACCUAAUCAGAAAGCCACGGCUAACUACGUG